GAUGAACGCUGGCGGCGUGCCUAAUACAUGCAAGUAGAACGCUGAAGGAGGAGCUUGCUCUUCUGGAUGAGUUGCGAACGGGUGAGUAACGCGUAGGUAACCUGCCUGGUAGCGGGGGAUAACUAUUGGAAACGAUAGCUAAUACCGCAUGACAACAGUUAUUGCAUGAUAACUGUUUAAAAGGGGCAACUGCUCCACUACCAGAUGGACCUGCGUUGUAUUAGCUAGUUGGUGAGGUAACGGCUCACCAAGGCGACGAUACAUAGCCGACCUGAGAGGGUGAUCGGCCACACUGGAACUGAGACACGGCCCAGACUCCUACGGGAGGCAGCAGUAGGGAAUCUUCGGCAAUGGACGGAAGUCUGACCGAGCAACGCCGCGUGAGUGAAGAAGGUUUUCGGAUCGUAAAGCUCUGUUGUAAGAGAAGAACGAGUGUGAGAGUGGAAAGUUCACACUGUGACGGUAUCUUACCAGAAAGGGACGGCUAACUACGUG
This 495-nucleotide ribosomal RNA is filed under the name uncultured bacterium. RNAcentral describes it as "partial 16S ribosomal RNA". It matches the Rfam family "Bacterial small subunit ribosomal RNA", at positions 28 to 507 of the family's 1533-position model. The record is from RNAcentral.